UACAGAGGGGGCAAGCGUUGUUCGGAAUUACUGGGCGUAAAGGGCGCGUAGGCGGCCUGCUAAGUCGAACGUGAAAUCCCCGGGCUCAACCCGGGAACUGCGCCCGAGACUGCUUCUCUUGAGUCCCGGAGAGGAAGAUGGAAUUCCCGGUGUAGCGGUGAAAUGUGUAGAGAUCGGGAGGAACACCGGUGGCGAAGGCGGUCUUCUGGACGGUGACUGACGCUGAGGCGCGAAAGCGUGGGGAGCAAACGGG
RNAcentral lists this ribosomal RNA (253 nucleotides) under uncultured prokaryote. RNAcentral's name for it is "partial 16S ribosomal RNA". It matches the Rfam family "Bacterial small subunit ribosomal RNA", at positions 524 to 776 of the family's 1533-position model. The record is from RNAcentral.